GCGCUGUCCCCCGGAGGCGUCUGGGUGUGCGGAGCGCGCGCGCGCGCGGCUCGGAGGCGCACCUGUGAGGUGUCCCUGAGGAGAGGGAGGUGGGUGCGCGGCGCCCGCGGCCUGGGGCGCUGACUCCCCUCACUUGGAGGCGCCCUGCGUCCGGCAGAGGAGGCGAGCAUCCCGCUCAGGUGAUGAGGAACCCCUCGCGCACCCAGCGCAGAAGGCUGCUGCCGCCGGACGCCUCCAUUGUUUGACCACAACAAGGGCCGGAUUCUCACCCAGCAGGAUCCUAAGGCCUUUGUAGUCCUUCAGCCACUGUGGCCCCUGCCUCUGCCUGUUCUUCUGGAAUGUCUUGGGGGUUUUGAUCCUGUCACUGUGACAAAGUCUUGCUCUGUCACCCAGGCUGGAGUGCAGUGGCACGAUCUCAGCUCAUUGCAACCUCUGUCUCCCAGGUUCAAGCGAUUCUCCUGCCUCAGCCUCUGGAGUAGCUGGGAUUACAGAUUGUCAUACAGGGAUUUUCUAAGCCAGGGGUCCCCAACCUCUGGGCCACAGAUGGGUACCGGUCCAUGGCCUGUUAGGAACCAAGGCCACACAGCAUGAGAUGGGACCACCUAGUUGCAGGAAAACAAGCUCAGGGCUCCCACUGAUUCUACAUUAUGAACUGCAAAUCCAAGAGACACAUCUUUGGAAGAUAAGAGAGCUUCUUCAAGACCAAAAAAGGAGACGGCAUGAUACCCAUGUAGGGAAUUCCCCAAAGCAGGGCUUGCCAUACCUGGACCCCGAGGAGCCUGCUUGCUGGAAAGGCUUUCCUGUCUGAUGUGCAAGAGGCAGAAUGCCAAACUGACUCUUCAAGGGGCAACUGCAGGGGCUCGAGACCAGCCAGCAGUAUCUCAUCCUUCGAUACAGGGCAUAUACUGUACAGUCCUUUUUCUAGAAGUGAGACGUACAAGAUUACUCUACAAGAGGAAGAUUCCAGGGGCUCAAAAACGCAAAGGUUUGCACUUUGAGAGCCCCUUGGAAUGUUGACAACUCAGGAUCUAAAACAAAGUUCUGUGUUAAUGAGUUACAGAAUUCACGUGGAAGUCAAUGUCACUUUAUAAUCGAUAAUAAUACUGAGUGAGGAACACUAUGCAGGAAGAAACCUUCCGUAGAAAGACAGGCAGGGAAAAGCUUAGGCUGACCUUAAACUUACCUAAUAGAGCAAGCCUGAGAUAGACUGCCAAAAUGGCCAAAUAAGAGACUCUAUGAAAUAACAGUCUUGUAACUGUAGUAAUCGUAAGGAAAUUUUCUCCUCGAAAUCACGAUACCAAAUAGGAAAAAUGAUCUACAAGUGCCCCAUGUGUAGGGAAUUUUUCUCUGAGAGAGCAGAUCUUUUUAUGCAUCAGAAAAUUCACACAGCUGAGAAGCCCCAUAAAUGUGACAAGUGUGAUAAGGGUUUCUUUCAUAUAUCAGAACUUCAUAUUCAUUGGAGAGACCAUACAGGAGAGAAGGUCUAUAAAUGUGAUGAUUGUGGUAAGGAUUUUAGCACUACAACAAAACUUAAUAGACAUAAGAAAAUCCAUACAGUGGAGAAGCCCUAUAAAUGUUACGAGUGUGGCAAAGCCUUCAAUUGGAGCUCCCAUCUUCAAAUUCAUAUGAGAGUUCAUACAGGUGAGAAACCGUAUGUCUGUAGUGAGUGUGGAAGGGGCUUUAGUAAUAGUUCAAACCUUUGCAUGCAUCAGAGAGUCCACACCGGAGAGAAGCCCUUUAAAUGUGAAGAGUGUGGGAAGGCCUUCAGGCACACCUCCAGCCUCUGCAUGCAUCAAAGAGUCCACACAGGAGAGAAACCCUAUAAAUGUUAUGAGUGUGGGAAGGCAUUCAGUCAGAGUUCGAGCCUCUGCAUCCACCAGAGAGUCCACACUGGAGAGAAACCCUAUAGAUGUUGUGGAUGUGGGAAGGCCUUCAGUCAGAGUUCGAGCCUGUGCAUCCACCAGAGAGUCCACACAGGAGAGAAACCUUUCAAAUGUGAUGAGUGCGGAAAGGCCUUCAGUCAGAGUACGAGCCUCUGCAUCCACCAGAGAGUCCACACAAAGGAGAGAAACCAUCUCAAAAUAUCAGUUAUAUAAAACGUUUUGCUAAGAGUUUAAAAUCUUAAAACCCAUAAGUGCCACUAGGAAGGAAACCCUGUAUAUACCUACAUUGACCCAAGAAAUAUUUACGCAAUCCCUAGCAGAACAUUGUUUCUGAGGAGGCAUAUGUGAGAUUGAUUUGUUGGUUCAUGCCAAGUGUGUUCCACAGGUUGACUUUGAAUGUGGACCUCUGAGCAUCCACCCAGGAUGGCUCUCAGGUCCCAGUCACAGAUGUCGCUUCCUGGGAUUCCAGCACGAUGCCUCCAUAGUUGAAAGACUACACAAAAAGCCACGAUCAUUGCCCGGCCUCCUGAGUCACCUUCUAUCUAUACUUUGCUUAAAAGCUAUCCCAGAUACUCCCCCUUGAGGAGCUCAUGCCCUUCCUUCCUCUUUAUUCGAGCAUACUGGCAAUGCAUUGGAAAACAGACAGCUCCCACUAAGAUCACGUUCUGGUAUUUCUGAGGUUAACACUUGAUUUAACCCCUGCAUAUCUUUCCAUAUAUCCUAUUAUUUCUGAACCCACCCUACCUAUAUGUCCUCAAAAUCCCCAUAAAUAUCCAUCCCUUCCUAGAUGGCAUUAACUUUCAUUUUAGAUUUUAGGUGACUCAUAAUUCCCAUUCACUUAGCCUAUCAGAAAAGUCAUUGGCAGACAUAUAUGUCCUUGAACCUUUUUUAUUUGUGUGGAUUCUGCUCAUCACUGUCUCUGUUAGACUUAUUUUGUAGUGGCUGCAUCACAUAUUUUUCACUUGAAUUUUUUUGGAAAUAGCUGAAUGUAAAUAGCAGGGAGGAAGAAGCAAGCAAAGUGAGAGCUUUUCUUCAUCAGAAUUGCCCUCUGGGCUCCUUUGGUAACAGAUGGAGCUCCUUCCUAGCUAGGGAGACCUUAUGAGAAGUGGAUGGUAGGAGGAGUCACUAAUGUUUCAAUCUCUAUUUCUGUAAUGUUGGGCAAUAAUGCAUAGGAGUUCUUGAUACCCCUUCAUUGAUUACUGUGUAUCAGUUCUUUGUUAGGCAUGAACGUCUUUAUUAAUCCAUCAUUCUUUUCUUCAUUCAACAAAUAUGUAUUGAACACCUCCUAUAUGCCAGGCACUGUGCUAGGUGCUGGGAAUACCACUGAUGAGACAGACAAGGUCCCUACUCUCGUGGAGUUUACUUCUGGUGGAGGAGACAGAUGAUAAGUAAACAAAUAAAUAAUGUAGUUUGAGAUAGUGAUUAAGUGCUAUGAAGAAAAUAAACUAGGGUGAUGAUUUUAGUGGUGGGGUGGGGUGGGGGUGGGGUGACAUUAGCUAGUGGUCAGGGAGGCCUUUCCGCGGUGGGAUGUUGAGCUGAGGCCAGAGGAGAAGCAGCACUCGCUGGCAGAGCACACAGGCUGCUCUGGGGGAUGAGCCGGUGCGUUUAAGGAACAGGCCAGCACUGGCAUUCGCAAGCAGUGGGGAAGGGGAGAGAUGCCGAGGUGGUCAGUAUCCUGACUUUCAUAGGCCUUUUUUUGUUUGUUUUAAUUUUUGCUAGAUUGAUAUUAAAAACUCAUGUGGAGGAACUCAAGGAAUGUUUAGAAGACCAAAAGUCCCCAAUGACAGGAACAAAAGCAACCAAUUUUUAACUUUUCUCAUUCCUGUUUUCAUUGAUUUCCCACAUGUAGUCCUUUUGCUCAGGAAGUCUUUGGGGAAAUUAAGGAUCUUUGAAGCUCUGAAAUAGGUGAUCAGGUUAGUGGUGUCUGUCAGCUGUCUAAGAGGUUGGAAAACGAACUACUCAAAAUAGUCACGAAAAUACUGAAAGUUUGAUUUUUCUCUCCAUAUUUGAAUUAAUUUUUUCUGUUUGACUGGAAGGGGUUUUUGUAUAACUAAAACCUCAGCACGUAAAGGAGAUUUAAAAGGAGCACAUGAUUUAGUGGGUGGGCCAUGAAACUAGAGAUGGGAUUUGGGGGUGAAUUUGUCAAUAUCUGGAUUUUAAUCCAGACAUCUCUGCUAACAAGCCUUUGGUAGGUCACUUCAGAUACUUUUCCUCCUUUUUACAAAGAGAGGGCUGGCUUAGUUAUUUGCCAAAGCCCCUUCCAGGCCUGAAUUCCACAAGUACGAUUUACUGUAGUGUCUUAUCACUCUUUCAUGUCACAAUAGGGUGGAGCAUUAGAGAAAAGCCUAGACUUUUAGUUGAUAGAGAGCCAGUUGAAAUAUCAUUGAUAGAAUUUUAGUUUUAGGAAAAAUUGGUUUGAUUUCUAGCUUUAUUACUAUUAGGUAUGUGAGCUUGGGCAAAUCGCUUAAUCUUUGAGUCUAGUUUUCUCUCAAAAUGAGAACAUUAGGCUAAAUGAUUUCCGAGUUUCCAGCUAGUCCUAGAGUUCUAUAUUUCUACAUAGUUGAAUUAUUUUAUCAUGCUGUUGCUGGGGAAUAUGACUAACCCUUUUGAAGCUACUAAUUUUAUGUCGAGCUUUAAAGUCCAUAAUUGUUAUCUUCAGAAAAUAUUAUUUGACCUACAGUAUGUCCAAAUCAAUUUAAUAAAAUCGCUUUAUAACAGGG
Pan troglodytes (chimpanzee) is the source of this 4603-nucleotide RNA transcript. It is a transcript of the gene named zinc finger protein 664, with no coding region annotated. The record is from RefSeq and is a predicted model, not a curated record. NCBI's taxonomy places the organism in Eukaryota, Metazoa, Chordata, Mammalia, Primates, Hominidae. The transcript has 8 exons.